UACGUAGGGGCCAAGCGUUGUUCGGAUUUACUGGGCGUAAAGGGCGCGUAGGCGGCGUGACAAGUCACUUGUGAAAUCUCCGGGCUUAACUCGGAACGGUCAAGUGAUACUGUUGUGCUAGAGUGCAGAAGGGGCAAGCGGAAUUCUUGGUGUAGCGGUGAAAUGCGUAGAUAUCAAGAGGAACACCUGAGGUGAAGACGGGUUGCUGGGCUGACACCGACGCUGAGGCGCGAAAGCUAGGGUAGCAAACGGG
RNAcentral lists this ribosomal RNA (253 nucleotides) under uncultured bacterium. RNAcentral describes it as "partial 16S ribosomal RNA". It matches the Rfam family "Bacterial small subunit ribosomal RNA", at positions 524 to 776 of the family's 1533-position model. The record is from RNAcentral.